RNAcentral lists this unclassified non-coding RNA (1024 nucleotides) under Bombus terrestris (buff-tailed bumblebee). Its description in RNAcentral is "misc RNA ENSBTSG00005034300.1". Lineage: Eukaryota; Metazoa; Arthropoda; Insecta; Hymenoptera; Apidae. The record is from RNAcentral.
CUUUGUAUAAUUCAUAUUUACCACUACUAGAUUGCGACAGUAUAAAACAUUCUUAACAUUUACGCUACGGGGAGCCACUUAACCUCUUCGGUACGAACACGGUACAAGUGCCGGCUAUAGUCGACAUCCUCUGCAUAUUCAUGGACGAGGAUCGAUGUGGCGUCGAUUAAAGUUAACAAUAACAAUAACAAUAUGCAAACGUUCUUGCUGUUACUUGGUCGUCAAGUAAUAUUUAUUACUUAUUAGUGAGACUAUCUCCGGGCUCUGCUCGGACCAGCGUCAUAUCGGAGAGGUAAAAAAUGCUAGAAAUAACAUGUAAUGAUCGUCUUGGUAAAAAAGUUAGAGUUAAAUGCAAUCCAGAUGAUACAAUAGGGGAUUUAAAAAAAUUAAUAGCAGCCCAAACUGGAACUCAUUGGGAAAAAAUAGUUUUAAAAAAGUGGUACACUAUAUUUAAGGAUCACAUAAAAUUACAAGAUUAUGAAAUUCAUGAUGGCAUGAAUUUAGAACUGUAUUAUCAAUAAUUAAUAAUUAAUAUUAUAUAAGUUAAUGUUAUGUAUAUAUAUAAUAACAGUAAUAGUAAAUUUUAUAUUUAAACAUUUUUGAUUUUGUAUUUUACAUGGUAUUUAAGUAUGUAAUGUAUAUAAUAACUAUACAAUAAACAAACAUAAAUAACAACAACAAAGACAAUCUUAUCUUAAAUUCUUGAUACUAAUUGCUGUUUACAAUGCAGAAGCUUACUAAUGUUAUUGCUAUUUAAUAUCUAAGUAUUGCUACAUUAUUUUUACAAAUUUAAUCUCUAGAAAUAUAUUGUUUCUCAUAUUGCAAAAUGUAAUAUCAACUCUCAAAUACGUUUUAAUUUCUAUGUGUACAAGUGAUACUAAAAUGGAGUAAAAAAACAGCUUAUAGUAUAUAUUUUUGAAACUUAAUCAUCUUUUUAAAUGUAUUACUAAUUUAAUAGUGAUAUUAAAAAAUAUAUGAUUAUUGAAAAUAACAAAAGAUACAUUUUACAAUAACUCAUUGUUAG